CGGUACAAUAGACUGAUCCAUGCUGAUUCACUUCUCCACCCGAUGAAUCUUGCUUGAGGUUUAAUCUUCAUGUAUACAGUACGGCAGCUCGCUUCCAGCGGACGUAGUCAUAGUCGGCUCCUGUUGCGAGCAUCCGAUACUUCCGUGAAAUUUUCUGCUUUGUAGAUUGAUUUGCCUGAGAUUGUUUCCUUGAGACUUGAUCCAUGUGAAAUAAGCAGAAUGCCUUGAAGAUGAUUCGCUAUAAAUCUCUCCUACUUAAAAAAGGGGAAGAGGUUCCGUCGUCAGCCCGAACAUGGUCCGUUUCGUCAAACCGCUCGUCCCGCUUGCUUUCGUCAGCUCCCGUUCCUUUCAUCCAUCAUCCCACCCCCGGUGAUUCCGCGCAAAAUUGAUGUGAAUUGCCAAAACUACCGCGUAAGGAAAUUGCUAAUCCCGUCGCUCAUGUUCUGGCUCGGCGAGGUCGCACAUCUGGGCAUCUCCACACUCCAAAUCCCCCCUGAAAUCCUGAUGGCCCCAUCACCAAUUCCUAGGCCUAACUCUAGGCGGGACUGCGGCGGAUUGCGCCCCCGCUCCGGUGGUCCUUCCCAUGUAGGCCGGCACGCAUCUCGCCUCUCGAUCUCCUCUCCCAUCUCCGUUAUGGCGUUCCUGCUCGGAGGUCCACGCCGCCACGUGUUGUUGAGCGGGCAAGAUCAGCACUCUGUAGGUUAGGGCCAACCAGGAGGAGGAUCUAGCGACCAGACCACCAUCAUCAGCGCAAGAUGUGCGGGAAGGAUGAUUCUGUACCUAACUUUGCCCCAUUGUUUUUUGGUAAUGGGGCUGUUGAGAUUGAUGAUGAGGAGGAUGUGCCUCUGGUUCCAUCCAUAGUUGAUAAUUGGUGCCUCUCCAUUGCUGCUUGUUGUAACACUUCAAGUGCUAUAGUGCAGUUAAUUUUUGCAGACCAGACCUUUGUAUCGUAGUGUUGUUGUAGUUCUGUUUUUGACCGCUUUGCAUUUAUGUUUAUUCCUUAUAUGCUUGCCGUUGGUACCUACUCGGGUGGCUGCAGCACUGCCUUCUUCAGUGCAUUCAGCCUGGACUGGCCGUUCUGUCCUGUUUAGUGUGUACUACACAACUUGUGCUUUUGUUGCUUCACGGCUGUAGUGCAUGUGCAUCUGGUAGGAUGGUAGCCUUCUAUACAUAGUGUGGUGCACUGGUGUACAUGCUUUGUAAUGUAAUUUAUGCAGCUACCCGCAAGAAAAUUAAGUAACCUCCCAAUCAAGUUGGAUUGGAGUACAAUAUCUUAUAUUUGGUAGAAUGAAAAAUUCUGAUUCGUGAAUUCGAAUUGUUACUGGUCUUGAUUUCUUCUUCUUUCUACAAUGUAAGCUCUUCCGGUGUCACAACUCAUGGAACAAGCCAUAAAGUGACUCUUUGAAGAUAUGCAGUGAUGUUUACCUCCAUCUUACAGGACUCAAAGACAACAAUAAAUGGUGUCUCUUCACUCUAUUUCCAAGAAUGCUUGGAAAUAUAAUCUCCAUUGUUGUGCUACGUAAAUAUUGGAAUGUGUGUAUGAUUAAUUCAUCUGUGAGCUCUUAUAUUUUAUUAAGCUUGAUCUACACAUGAUACCAGUAUCUCCGCUCAUCACAUUUCUUACAGCCCUGAUUUUCUUGUAAAAGGUCUCUUUGAUGCAGAACAAUAGAUCCAUAUAUUUAUUUUCUUUGAUACACUUUUUUUAAUAUAGAUGUUAUUCACCGUGCUCACCAAGCUCUGGGUACCAACUGCUCUAGCAUUCAUUUGGUUCCUAUGUUCAGUUAUACCAUAUCUAUUAGGAGAACUGUCGACAAAUUCAUGCUGGGAGCAUGUAAUGAUGGUUGUUUUAAUUUGUUCACUCACAGUUGACUCUCUGCUGAUCUCUGAUUAAUUUAUUCUGUUUGAAGUACGAUGCACAAAAUUAUGCUUGGUGUCUUAGAAAAUAGCAUCGGAGUAUAUUAGCAACUAUGAUGACAUAGCACAAUGCUCACUCUCUCGGUAUCUUAUUUUCUUCGUUUCUAGACUAAUCAACUUUGUGCAAAACUACCAACAAACUAUUUCUCCUAAGGCUGUGGCUUAAUUAAGAUACUAAAUGAUCAUAUAAGUGUAAGUGCGCUGUAUAUGUUGUUAGUUUCUUAUUACGCACAUGGUUACAUCCCUUUAACCAUUUUUUUGCGUUUGAUGAAUUGCUAACUAGCGGAUGUGUAUAUCAGAGCGAUCAUGUUUGAGGACCUCUCCCUUCUCACACAGAUGGUUAGUAUGAAGUAAAGGAGCAACUCAAGCAGAUUAUGCCUACAAAGCUGAUAGGUCGCCUUACAGAAUUAAGUUGUGAGUCAUGUCUGAAAUACUCCCUCCGGUCGGAUUAGAUUGACGCAGGCUCGGGCAUCAAGUACACACACGCUGGAACUGUUUCGUGUCGAUUAAUUUCAGCCGGAGGUAGUAUUUCGUUUUUUCAUGGUUUUAUUGUUGUAUGACCAUGCAUGUUUCUUGUGCUAAGUAUCUGGUCAAACACCUUACUAUAUACCUCACAUGCAAAAAUAAGCACAAUUUUCUUAUCCAGAAGCAAUAGACCUCAUGAUUAUAUUAUUAUGAUGGUCAAAUAUCCCUUCGAGGUUCAGAUGUAUGCCUUGCUUAAUCUGAUAUUUUUCUUGUUAUUCAUUCACACAGAACUUUGUAUGGAUAUUUUGACUUAUUUGUACUUCCUACCCUUACAGCUUAAAUUAGCUGCUAAUAACAUGAAUAGAUUAUCUAUUCCACCCAGCAUUUUUUCAGAUGUUGAUUCAGAUUUUGCCAUGCAUACAUGUAGGUCUAGAUGCUUGCCUUUUCAGGUAAAAAUGUAUACCGUAUUUUUUUCCUGAUGUAGAUUUAUUUCCAACAAAUCAGAGAAGGCUCCUUUGCUACUUCUGGACUAAGCUCUUAAAUUCUCAGGUUUAAGCAAGCCUUAAACUGCAAUCCAUCAUGUACUAGAAGGGAGAAACGGCCAGGAAUCUAUAGGUCCAUCUGCAUGUUGUUUCUCUUUGUGAAUUUCGAAAUUUUCAAGAUAUCAUAUGGCAUGCAUUCUUCAAAAUGAAAGACUGGUGCACGGGUUGAUGUGAAAUCCCAGUUUAAGUUUGCACACUGAUUUUAUCAUGUGCAGUAAACAUAUUUUUGUUUGUUGUCGUUUCUACUUGGCAGACAGUUCGGUGAAUAGAAAUUGGGGAUGAAAAAUGGCUAGGUGAGCUAUUUAUACAUAGGGGUAGGGUAGAAAUCUGCGACUAAUUAAAGUUAGCUUUAGCCAGCAAGUGGGGAAAGAAGAAGAAUUGUUUUUCUUGAAGAAGGCAGGAGGGCUCCAGUGCUGUUUUCAUUUGUCUGUCAUGUUAUUAUCCUGUAAUAAUAAUUCAAAGUCUCAGCUAUGGGAACAACUACAACAGAAAAACACCAUGUCAUAUUGAUGUAAUGGGUACAAUGACUAGGUUGUUGGACUGGGGUGACUACAAAGCUCUGUAGCGUGUAGAAAAGAAAAUUGUAAAUAAAUUAAAAUGGGCACUUAUAAGAGAAAUUGACUUUUUUUAAUUAGUUGU
Long non-coding RNA from Lolium perenne, 3560 nucleotides. RefSeq lists it as uncharacterized. The record is from RefSeq and is a predicted model, not a curated record. NCBI's taxonomy places the organism in Eukaryota, Viridiplantae, Streptophyta, Magnoliopsida, Poales, Poaceae.